RNAcentral lists this ribosomal RNA (437 nucleotides) under uncultured bacterium. RNAcentral's name for it is "partial 16S ribosomal RNA". It matches the Rfam family "Bacterial small subunit ribosomal RNA", at positions 29 to 507 of the family's 1533-position model. The record is from RNAcentral.
AGCGAACGCUGGCGGCAGGCUUAACACAUGCAAGUCGAGCGGGCAUCCUUGUGGUGUCAGCGGCAGACGGGUGAGUAACGCGUGGGAACGUGCCCUUCGGUUCGGAAUAACUCAGGGAAACUUGAGCUAAUACCGGAUACGUGCGAGAGCAGAAAGGUUUAUCUGCCGAAGGAUCGGCCCUCGUCUGAUUAGCUAGUUGGUGAGGUUACGGCUCACCAAGGCGACGAUCAGUAGCUGGUCUGAGAGGAUGAUCAGCCACACUGGGACUGAGACACGGCCCAGACUCCUACGGGAGGCAGCAGUGGGGAAUAUUGGAAAAUGGGGGCAACCCUGAUCCAGCCAUGCCGCGUGAGUGAUGACGGCCUUAGGGUUGUAAAGCUCUUUUCUCCGGGACGAUAAUGACGGUACCGGAGGAAUAAGCCCCGGCUAACUUCGUG